AAUGUACCAAUCAAUAAAAACUUUAAUUUUGUAUAAAAUCCAGACACCCAGUAAAUCGUACUGACAUUUGUAUUGUAAUUAAUGUUUUUAAUGCAGAACGUGGCAAGGCUAUUAGAGAUGACGGUUCUGUCGAAAAAGAUUUUCAGAAAAAAUACAGCAAUCUCAGUGUGUAUAACAAUACAAUCAAAGAGUGUUCGAUUUCUACCAUUCAAUGUACUCAGCCUAAGAUUAAUCAUCCACCUAAACUAAAAGAGGAUCAAAUAAAAGAAGAUGUACCUAGCUCCAUGGACAUAAAAUGGUUCACUAAAUAAAUUGCUCAGGAAAAUUCAACACCAACCAUUUCAACGCUAAACAUACCGCAUCUCCAUGUCACAUUCUAAAAUAGACAAAGCAUUUUUUUUUGUAAAUUAUGUCUUGUAUUUUAAAUUAUUAAUUUCUUUAUCACUGUGCUCGGAUUUUCAAUACUCCUAUUUCGUAUACUAUAUGUGUUAACUAUUUAUUUAUUAUAUGUACAAUUAAUUAUGGUCAGU
Adelges cooleyi (spruce gall adelgid) is the source of this 530-nucleotide long non-coding RNA. RefSeq lists it as uncharacterized. The record is from RefSeq and is a predicted model, not a curated record. The transcript is spliced from 5 exons. NCBI's taxonomy places the organism in Eukaryota, Metazoa, Arthropoda, Insecta, Hemiptera, Adelgidae.